Long non-coding RNA from Salvelinus fontinalis (brook trout), 431 nucleotides. RefSeq lists it as uncharacterized. Lineage: Eukaryota; Metazoa; Chordata; Actinopteri; Salmoniformes; Salmonidae. The transcript is spliced from 3 exons. The record is from RefSeq and is a predicted model, not a curated record.
UGCCAAGCUCUGAUUCACACUUAGUUGUACAUCAUGUCCUUGAAACAGUUCAAUUCAACACUCGUCUAGCUGAAGUUAAAUCAACCUGAUCUGCUAUAUAGAGACAUGGUGGGUUUUCUCUGCCUUCUCCUCUUUCUGACUGCUCUACAAGUGGAGGGUUUCAGUAGGGGAGGAUCUUCCAUUGCUUCUCAGUGUGGCUCAAUGCUACCUGGUAAUAGUUUUCAUGGCAGCACAGGGCAGAGCUCUUCCUCACCAUACACUGUCACUGUCAACCAGACCACCUACCAGCCAGGAGACACCAUCCAAGUGACUCUGUCAGGAAAAGUCAGCUAUAAAGGGUUUCUUCUGGAGGCCCAUGAGGAAGGACAGAACACCGCUGUGGGAACGUUCUCUCUCGGCAGUAGGACUGGGAUCGUUCUUGUGCCGUGCAA